RNAcentral lists this ribosomal RNA (497 nucleotides) under uncultured bacterium. RNAcentral describes it as "bacterial SSU rRNA". It matches the Rfam family "Bacterial small subunit ribosomal RNA", at positions 899 to 1397 of the family's 1533-position model. The record is from RNAcentral.
ACUCAAAGGAAUAGACGGGGGCCCGCACAAGCAGCGGAGCAUGUGGUUUAAUUCGACGCAACGCGAAGAACCUUACCUGGGCUUGACAUGUGAGUGACAGGUGUGGAAACACACCCUCCCUUCGGGGCACUUUCACAGGUGGUGCAUGGCUGUCGUCAGCUCGUGUCGUGAGAUGUUGGGUUAAGUCCCGCAACGAGCGCAACCCUCGUCGCAUGUUGCCAGCAUUUAGUUGGGGACUCAUGUGAGACUGCCGGUGACAAACCGGAGGAAGGUGGGGAUGACGUCAAGUCCUCAUGCCCCUUAUGUCCAGGGCUACACACGUGCUACAUUGGCGCGUACAGAGGGCUGCGAUACCGCGAGGUGGAGCGAAUCCCUUAAAGCGCGUCUCGGUUCGGAUUGCAGGCUGAAAUUCGCCUGCAUGAAGGCGGAGUUGCUAGUAAUCGCGGAUCAGCACUGCCGCGGUGAAUACGUUCCCGGGCCUUGUACACACCGCCCGU